CUAAGCACUGCUACUUGAAUAACCAAACCUAUGCCCAAAUCCCAUCUUUGUGGGGCUACCUCCUGGUACUCUUCCUAGCAUCAUUUUUCUCUUUGUCAGAGUCCAAUCAGGAGACAUAAAUCACUUAAAUACAAACUGGUAACAUUUAAUGAAGCUGAGAGUGCUGAGGGCACAUCUGAAACCACUGGAGUUUGGCGACAUGGAGGUCAGCAAAUGAAUUCUCGAUUUGCUAUGGAGGGAGCUACCAGGUGUGACACUUUUUAAUUUGCCAGACCAUCUAUCUAUUCUCAUUGGAAAUUUCAUUCUUUCUUAAAGCCAACCAAAUGAUUAUGGCACAUGUGCAUGGGGCAGAACAUCACAGAAGCAUGAAUAAAUAUCCAGCACUUCGAUAAGCAUCAGAACUGAAGAAUUUGGAAGAGCUCAAAUUUUUAAAUAACCAGAUCGAGGAGCUGCCAACACAGAUCAGCAGGCUUCAAAAACUCAAACACCUGAACCUUGGCCACCCUGUGCGCACUCUAUCUAAGUGA
Molecule: long non-coding RNA, 527 nt
Filed under: Pan troglodytes (chimpanzee)
Lineage: Eukaryota; Metazoa; Chordata; Mammalia; Primates; Hominidae
Description: long non-coding RNA NONPTRT002165
Source: RNAcentral